ACCCGCGGCCUAGUGGUUAGCGCUCCCGUUUAUAAAAUGUUCAACGUGGGUUCGAACCCCAUGAGGGUC
This is a non-coding RNA of Caenorhabditis brenneri, 69 nucleotides long. The record is from the annotation of a GenBank genome assembly. Lineage: Eukaryota; Metazoa; Nematoda; Chromadorea; Rhabditida; Rhabditidae.